Morone saxatilis (striped sea-bass) is the source of this 3266-nucleotide long non-coding RNA. RefSeq lists it as uncharacterized. The transcript is spliced from 6 exons. Lineage: Eukaryota; Metazoa; Chordata; Actinopteri; Moronidae. The record is from RefSeq and is a predicted model, not a curated record.
CCACUGCAGCCACAUGCACAUCAGACCUGAUCCUGAUCCUGCACAGGCACAAUUAUCAAAAACGAAACGAGGACAAAUAAAUGCUUUGUUUCCCCACAAACGUUACCACUCAAAAGCCCCUAUUGGCUUGCAGUCCUGCCUUAACGCACAGCGGAGUGUCACAUUCGCCAUGCAGUAGUGCGGAGAUAUUGGGGACAGCCUGCCCUGCGCAGCGGAUGAAAGAGAUGAAAAGCUUUCGCUGGGAUGUGCAUAAUCCCGUCCUCACGACAGUCGUCAGACCACCUCGUAGAUUAUAACUCGACCGAGGAUCACUUUCUAGGCUAUUUCAAUUAAAUGGAGAGCGGCGGUGACACGCACAGUUCUUCAGCCGCACUCAUCCUGACAAUUUCUGAAGCGCCCCAAACAACACUCAGCAGCAGCAGCUGGUGAGAAUAACCCUAAAAUGCCGCUUCUUUCCGCUCGCUUUCUGAGCCUAUUGCGCGGUGGACGCACUAGGAGGAGACUUGAAGCUGACAAGCAACAAGCACAUGGUGCGUUUUAUUAUGAUCAAUGAAUCAAAAGAAAAAAGGCCCUGAAACAAUCACUGCCUCACCAGACCUGGACCCAGCCGGUGGCAGGCAAGCCAUGCAGCCCUGAGUUUGGGGCUCAGACUGUGGCUGGAAGAGGGAGUGAGCCUGGAGCUGAGAUUGAGGCUAAGACUCAGGCUGGAGCUGGGGCUUUGGCCCAGCUGUGACGGGGACAGUCUGAGGGAAAUCAGUCUUGCAAGAACCACCAAACAGGAGCUUAUGACUUUCUCCUCUCCUUGACAGAGAUGUGGAUCAAAACAGGAAGAGCUGCCGAAUGUCGCAUUCCCGACCGGACUUGCUUUGAAAAAUUGGCAGUAAGACUGGUUUUGAAUUCAGCCACAGGCACAAACAAUUCGGUCAACAAGUGAAAUCAUGGACAGACAGACUGGCGAUCUCAGCAGCAUUAAGGCUACCUGACAUGCUGCUGAAACCACAAUGGAAGGAGGAGGCGAUAUGCCAGUGUUUCCCCCACUUCACUGCGUGUUACAGAGCAGAUAUCUCUCCACCUGUUCUCUCUCCACUUGUCCAUGCCAGGCCAGUGUCAGAGUCGCGUACCAUUCACCGAAAGUGAAGCUGAUUUCUGGAGGGGUGGCAGAGGGCUGACCCAAGUGUGGUAUAAGUAAGAGGGUGCUUUUAGUUUUGUUAGAGGAGUAUAGAUUUUUAAAGUGCUCCAAUUAUGAAAAUUAUGAUUAUCAUUCUGUACAUGAAUAACAAACUGCAAUACAUCCGGUGAAAUUUCCUGUAUUUUUUCAUAUCGCAAUAUAUACUGCAGAAAAAAACACAAUAUCGUAAUUUUGCAGCACUAGUAAAGAUUCUUUUGUAAUGUUUAUUUUUUGCAAUUUAUUGUAUGUAAACAGAAAUGCUAUGUGGUAGUGGCAGUGGUUCCCAGUCUUCUUGACUUGUACCUCUUUAAAACAAAGUCAUUUCUACACACAAUCCCAUGUCACAGGUUGCAAAUAACUUGCAAGCAGUUCUACCACAGAGGGUUUUUCACAUAUUGUUUGAUACUAGUAUCGCCAUAUAUUGGCAAUACUCUCACGUCUCCUGCUACUAUCUAGCAUCACAACAACAGCAUGUUUUGGAAAACUAGAACGUAAGCCGAAUGUCCAUGAGCAAGUAAUGUAACAUUACAUGACACAAAAAAUCCCAGAAUAGCUUGAAUAACAAGUUAAUGUUGUGUGGCUCGGUCCACUCUGUUUGUUUCCCAUUUAAAAAGCAAGGGCGGUGUACAAUCAUCAGCUUUUUUUAUUUUUAGCGCACACACAGAGUGAAAAGCUAGCAAACCAUCAGGAGUUAUUUUCUGAAUUUGAACAAAAAGUUUAUUGGAUUAGAAUCACAUUACCUAGACUCCGCACUCCACCUUUAAUGAACAGAAUGUUGCAUUUUAAUAGCUUAUCCUUUAAUGUCACAGUACCCUUUAAGUUAUUUACAGGAUUAUUUUCCAAGUUAUUUUGAAUAUGGAAAUGUCUUGUCUAUACAAUUUGCUUGGGGGUAAUGCACCUUGUGGGAUCAUUUGAAUUUCUAGCCAUGAACCCAGUGACCCAGUCGUCACCUUGUGUUCUGAACACACAGUCCUGUCACACUGGUGAGGUGUCCCAGAGGAGAGUGGCAUGUGUAUUUGUGUUUCUGUGAAUCAUAAACGCUGUUUUGUAUUCAUUGAGGUGUGUCAAAGCGGAUUACCUGCAUGAAUGGGGACCUGAAACGACUUUGUUUUCAAAGACUGUCCUUUGGGGUGAGGUAGUAGGUUGUAUAGUUUUAGGGUCAUACCCUUCCUGUCAGAUAACUAUACAACUUACUGUCUUUCCUGAAGUGGCUGUAAUGUCAUCAGAUGUCAUUGUUGAAGCUUUUGGAUCUGGAUCAACACUGGAAUGUGCACGUUUACCCGCUAAGAUAACAUAACUCAUUUGCAGCAUUUGAUCGAGGUAGGUCUUUGUAGUUGCUUUGGGUAGUUUUCCAUCUCGUGAUUUUAAUGGUUGCACUUUAAGACUUUGUGGUCAAUAAAACCUAUUCUUAAAUAUUAUACAAUAUAUUGUCUUCAUAUCUCAUCAGACACUGUAUAUUGUAUAACCUUUUACACAAACCUGCUCUCAUUUAAUUGUCUUUCCUUAGCUCUUAUUUCUGUUUUUGUUUUUUUAUAUAUGAUAAUAACAGUAGUUUAGGAUUUUUGUCAGAGCUCCAUGGCUUCCAAGUCCAAUCGACUUCAAUUAUAUGAAGUGUGAACGUCUUCAAAAUCUAAAAAGGUUUGAGGAUGUAUUUAUUACGUAUAAGACAAUGGACAGUGUAUAUACAUCACUCCACCAUAAUAGAUCUUCAGUACAUGUUACACCAAAGCUUGCCAACAUGUAGGACCUUUCUGAUGUUCGAACGGGGUGAGGUAGUAGGUUGUGUGGUUUCAGGGUAGUGAUUUUGCCCAAUCAGGAGAUAACUAUACAACCUACUGCCUUCCCUGGAGGGCAGCAAUACUUCACCAUAGAGACAACAGGGACCAUCUUGCUCACAGAAAAACUUCCAGAAUCAAUGAACCCAACCAGGUCAACUAUCUGGCCCUGAGCCACCGGUCCGCUUCUUACCUGGAACGUGGGCGUCCACAGUUAAUCGUGGCAGCAGAGAGGACCAGCAGGUAAAGUCUGUUCGGUAUGGAAUUUGUCUUGGAGUUUUUUUCUUCUGCUUCAAACAUAAAUAAAAAAAUAAGAUGAUGAA